Long non-coding RNA from Exaiptasia diaphana, 228 nucleotides. RefSeq lists it as uncharacterized. The record is from RefSeq and is a predicted model, not a curated record. Lineage: Eukaryota; Metazoa; Cnidaria; Anthozoa; Actiniaria; Aiptasiidae. The transcript has 3 exons.
ACAAAACAAAAAUACUGAUUACUCGUUUUUUGUGAACAAAAAGAUGCUACUGUUUUUGCAUGAAAACGUCAACAAUGUUGUUUUUAUUGGAGUCUGAUGCGUGAAAAUCCUUAGAGUUGUCGUAAAUACAGCUAUURGACAAUGUUGAAGUUAAACUCGACUGGAGGGAAGCUAGAUAUCACCAUCACUGAUGAUGUCAUCUUUGGAUCCAGUAAAAGGCCUCCAGUG